GAUAUUGGCAAUUGAUAGCUUAUGGGAGAGGCAGAAUUAGUUCUCUUUAAAGGUAUGGCUAUCACAGGUUGACUACCAUGUAGAGGGGUGGUAUGGUGCUGCUCGUACUCGAAUGCCAAAUUCUGCACCCCAAGAUCUGGAUGCUCCAAGGUGAUGACCUCAGUCACCAUGGCAGCGGCUGCUCCUGAGCCUCCCUGCCAGAGCCUGUUCCUUACCAGAAGACUGUCCACUUCAGACUGCACAAAUGGAGAAAGGGAAUUUGGUAGACCCCUUUCCUUUCUGGUCACUCUUUCACUAUAAAUAAAAGUCCAUUGUGAUUUCUAAG
Non-coding RNA from Rattus norvegicus (Norway rat), 325 nucleotides. The record is from RefSeq and is a predicted model, not a curated record. NCBI's taxonomy places the organism in Eukaryota, Metazoa, Chordata, Mammalia, Rodentia, Muridae.